GACGAACGCUGGCGGCGUGCUUAACACAUGCAAGUCGAACGGAAAGGCCCUGCUUUUGUGGGGUGCUCGAGUGGCGAACGGGUGAGUAACACGUGAGUAACCUGCCCUUGACUUUGGGAUAACUUCAGGAAACUGGGGCUAAUACCGGAUAGGAGCUCCUGCUGCAUGGUGAGGGUUGGAAAGUUUCGGCGGUUGGGGAUGGACUCGCGGCUUAUCAGCUUGUUGGUGGGGUAGUGGCUUACCAAGGCUUUGACGGGUAGCCGGCCUGAGAGGGUGACCGGCCACAUUGGGACUGAGAUACGGCCCAGACUCCUACGGGAGGCAGCAGUGGGGAAUAUUGCACAAUGGGCGGAAGCCUGAUGCAGCAACGCCGCGUGCGGGAUGACGGCCUUCGGGUUGUAAACCGCUUUCGCCUGUGACGAAGCGUGAGUGACGGUAAUGGGUAAAGAAGCACCGGCUAACUACGUGCCAGCAGCCGCGGUGAUACGUAGGGUGCGAGCGUUGUCCGGAUUUAUUGGGCGUAAAGGGCUCGUAGGUGGUUGAUCGCGUCGGAAGUGUAAUCUUGGGGCUUAACCCUGAGCGUGCUUUCGAUACGGGUUGACUUGAGGAAGGUAGGGGAGAAUGGAAUUCCUGGUGGAGCGGUGGAAUGCGCAGAUAUCAGGAGGAACACCAGUGGCGAAGGCGGUUCUCUGGGCCUUUCCUGACGCUGAGGAGCGAAAGCGUGGGGAGCGAACAGGCUUAGAUACCCUGGUAGUCCACGCUGUAAACGGUGGGUACUAGGUGUGGGGUCCAUUCCACGGGUUCCGUGCCGUAGCUAACGCUUUAAGUACCCCGCCUGGGGAGUACGGCCGCAAGGCUAAAACUCAAAGGAAUUGACGGGGCCCCGCACAAGCGGCGGAGCAUGCGGAUUAAUUCGAUGCAACGCGUAGAACCUUACCUGGGUUUGACAUGGAUCGGGAGUGCUCAGAGAUGGGUGUGCCUCUUUUGGGGUCGGUUCACAGGUGGUGCAUGCCUGUCGUCAGCUCGUGUCGUGAGAUGUUGGGUUAAGUCCCGCAACGAGCGCAACCCUUGUUCACUGUUGCCAGCACGUUAUGGUGGGGACUCAGUGGAGACCGCCGGGGUCAACUCGGAGGAAGGUGGGGAUGACGUCAAGUCCUCAUGCCCCUUAUGUCCAGGGCUUCACGCAUGCUAGAAUGGCUGGUACAGAGAGUGGCGAGCCUGUGAGGGUGAGCGAAUCUCGGAAAGCCGGUCUCAGUUCGGAUUGGGGUCUGCAACUCGACCUCAUGAAGUCGGAGUCGCUAGUAAUCGCAGAUCAGCAACGCUGCGGUGAAAACGUUCCCGGGGCU
Molecule: ribosomal RNA, 1346 nt
Filed under: uncultured bacterium
Lineage: Bacteria
Description: bacterial SSU rRNA
Rfam family: Bacterial small subunit ribosomal RNA
Source: RNAcentral